AGAUAGCUCAAUGGUAGAGCGUCUUGUUAUCAACGAGAGGGUUGAGAGUUCGACCCUUUUUUUAGUGA
RNAcentral lists this transfer RNA (68 nucleotides) under Candidatus Pelagibacter sp. RNAcentral describes it as "tRNA-Asp". It matches the Rfam family "tRNA". Rfam says of the family: Transfer RNA (tRNA) molecules are approximately 80 nucleotides in length. The record is from RNAcentral. Lineage: Bacteria; Pseudomonadati; Pseudomonadota; Alphaproteobacteria; Candidatus Pelagibacterales; Candidatus Pelagibacteraceae.